This 61-nucleotide transfer RNA is filed under the name Cucujoidea sp. 15 KM-2017. RNAcentral describes it as "tRNA-Cys". Lineage: Eukaryota; Metazoa; Arthropoda; Insecta; Coleoptera. The record is from RNAcentral.
GGUUUAAUAGUCAAAAAUGAUUUUAAAUUGCAAAUUUAAAGGUAGAGUAAUCUUUAAGCCU